GUCAGGCUUGGUGGCACAUGCCUGUAGUCCCAGCUCUUCAGGAGGCUGAGGCAGGAAGAUUGAUUGAGCCCAGGAGUUCUGGGCCAGCCUAGGCACAUAGCAACAUCCCAGAUCUU
Molecule: small RNA, 116 nt
Filed under: Marmota monax (woodchuck)
Lineage: Eukaryota; Metazoa; Chordata; Mammalia; Rodentia; Sciuridae
Source: RNAcentral